This is a non-coding RNA of Arachis ipaensis, 3311 nucleotides long. NCBI's taxonomy places the organism in Eukaryota, Viridiplantae, Streptophyta, Magnoliopsida, Fabales, Fabaceae. The record is from RefSeq and is a predicted model, not a curated record.
GCAUUGCAUCAUCAUCAUCAUCAUUUCUUCUUCUUCUUCUUCUUCUUCUUAGUUACACAGCUCCAAAGUCUGCAACUUUUCUCUUCCGAACACAAACCGAAGAAAACGAAACGAACAAUGCGACUCUAUUAAGAACUAUCAAUACAAAACAAAUGGCGUUCGCAGCCACCACGACGGCAACUACUAACCUCUCUGAAUUGCACCUCAAAACUUGUUCACCUUCAUCACUCUCACUCACUUCUCCUCAUUCUUCAUCUUCCUCCUCAACGCUCUUCUUCUUUGGCUCUAAACCCCCAUUCCGCACUCUUACACUCACACCCUUCUCUUCUCUUAGAACCUCACAACAACAACAUACAAAACAGAAUAACCGUUCUUCUUCCACAACAAAACCUAACACCAACACCAGCACCAGCACCAGCAACCCUUCUGCCCCAUGGCUCGCAAAAACCCCUCCCCCCAAUAAUUCCUCCAAAAGGGUCACCGAAUCUCACACCAACGACCCACUUCAUGAUACAACGGAAAAUCGUUACUUUGACGGUGAUAAGGGGCAAAACGCGGUUGAGAGGAUCGUUCUUCGGUUGAGGAACCUGGGAUUGGCUUCAGAUGAUGAUGAUGAUGAUGAUGAUGAAGAAGGAAAAGAAGAGGUCUCAAUUGGUGGUGCUGGUGAUGAUUUUCCGGUGACCGGAGAAGAGAGGCUUGGUGAGCUUCUGAGAAGGGAAUGGGUUAGGCCUGAUGCUAUUGUACGUGAAGAUGAUGGUGUUGGUGAUGAUGAGAUGGUUUUUUUGCCAUGGCAGAGAGAAGUGGAAGAGACAGAUAUGGGUGCUGCUAAAGAGGGAGGGGAGAAAGGGAUGAGGGAUAAGAGGAGAGUAAAGGCUCCAACUUUGGCGGAGCUGACGCUUGAGGACGAGGUUUUGAGGAGGUUAAGGAGGGAAGGAAUGCGUACUAGGGAGAGGGUUAAUGUCCCUAAAGCUGGGCUCACCAAGGAGGUUAUGGAGAAGAUUCAUGAGAGGUGGAGGAAGGAGGAGCUUGUGAGGCUCAAGUUUCAUGAGGACCUUGCAAGGGACAUGAGGACUGCUCAUGAGAUUGUUGAGCGCCGAACAGGAGGGUUGGUCACAUGGAGGGCAGGUAGUGUUAUGAUGGUUUAUCGUGGUGCUAAUUACCAGGGGCCUUCAUCUGGGGGUCAACACAAUGCAAAAGAAGGUGAUGCUUUUUUUGUACCGGAUGUCUCUUCGAGAACAAAAGACAGUGAUGCAGCCUCAUCAUCGGAGAAGAGUGAGCCAAUUGUGUGGAAUCGAGUACAGCCUGAAAACAUGACAGAGGAGGAAGCGGAGUACAAUGCCCUGCUUGAUAGUUUAGGUCCUCGUUUCAUUGAAUGGUGGGGUACAGGAAUACUUCCUGUUGAUGCUGAUUCACUUCCCCCUACAGUUCCAGGUUACAAAACACCCUUUAGGCUUCUUCCUACUGGAAUGCGUUCUCGACUAACAAAUGCGGAAAUGACCAAUUUAAGGAAACUUGCCAAGACACUUCCUUGUCAUUUUGCCUUGGGGAGAAAUAGACGUCACCAAGGCCUAGCUUGUGCUAUUCUUAAGCUUUGGGAGAAAAGUUUAAUUGCAAAGAUUGCUGUAAAACGUGGUAUCCAGAACACAAACAAUGAACUGAUGGCUGAGGAGAUAAAGACAUUGACCGGAGGUACCUUGCUGCUAAGGAAUAAAUAUUACAUUGUUAUAUAUCGUGGGAAGGACUUUGUCCCGACAGCUGUAGCUACGGUCCUAGCUGAAAGACAGGAAAUGACCAAACAGGUACAAGAUGUUGAAGACAAGUUCCGGUCUGGUGUUCUUGAUGCUACUCCAUCAGGGAAGGAUGAAUCAGCAACACCACGAGCAGGAUCUUUAGCAGAGUUCUAUGAAGCUCAGGCACGCUGGGGAAGGGAUAUAUCUACUGAAGAACGGGAGAGGAUGAUGGAGGAAGCUGCCAAAUCCAAGCAAGUCAGGCUAGUCAGACAUAUCGAACAUAAAUUAGCUACCGCUGAGGCCAAAAAACUUAGGGCAGAAAGGCUGUUAGCAAAAAUAGAAGCAUCUAUGGUUCCAGCUGGUCCUGAUUAUGACCAGGAGACAAUCACAGAUGAAGAACGUGUUGUGUUCCGUCGGAUUGGUUUAAGAAUGAAGGCAUAUUUACCACUUGGUAUUCGUGGUGUUUUUGAUGGUGUCGUUGAGAACAUGCAUUUGCAUUGGAAACAUCGAGAGCUUGUAAAAUUGAUAUCAAAACAGGAGACCCUUGCUUUUGUUGAAGAUACAGCAAGGUUACUGGAAUUUGAAAGUGGUGGAAUCCUAGUGGCAAUAGAGAGAGUUCCCAAAGGAUUUGCUCUUAUUUACUAUCGUGGAAAGAAUUAUAAGAGGCCCAUCAUUCUGAGGCCUAAAAACUUACUGACAAAGCAAAAAGCAUUGAAGCGAUCGGUGGCUAUGCAACGGCAUGAGGCUCUUAGUCAGCAUAUUACUGAGUUGGAGAAAACCAUAGAACAAAUGAAAACAGAACUUGGAAUGCCUCAAGAUCUGGAAGAUGAAGAUAUGCCAAACAUAGAGGACCAUAACCAAAUAGACAAUAGCUCGGAAUUCAGCCAAAGCGAAGAUGAAAAUUUUGAUGGUUUGGAUGAUUAUGAUGACGAUGAAGAUGAUGAUUCUGAUGAGGAGCAAGACAUUGAUUGGGAAGAUGAGGAUGACUCUGAGUUUUCUAAAUUAGAAAAUGGUGAACAUCCUUGAAGGCCAUAUGCAAAUCCUUGAAGGCCAUUCUGAAUUUUCAAAAUUAAUUGCAAUGAACUUUGCCAGUGCCUGCAGCUAGAGCGGUAUCAAACUUUGCCAUUUGAUCAUUCAGUUCAUAAGUUUGCGACACUGUUUUUAAUACCUUGCACUGUUUCAUGAUCAAUUUUGGCCUUUGCACAACUUGAUAAUUUCUUCUUGAUCAGAUGAGGUGUUAAUUUGUUUUUCCCCCCUAGGGGACUAUUUUGCAAUAAAUCUAGCAACUGUUCCUACUUGUAGAGUGAACGAGUGAUCAUAAGAGGCAGGCUCUCAUAAAACUUGAGUGGUUCUUCCGCUUACACAAUCUGAUCUGAAAUUUGGUUUCAGUUUUACAUAAAAAAUUCUACAAAGAUGCGAGUACAUAUAAUAUUUCAAGCACUGUUGUAUAAUUGAGUCUGAAUUUCAUUGUAGAUUACCUGGUUAUUGUAAAUCCUCCUUCAAACCGUAAUUUCUUUUUGUAAUAUGUUAUGCUUUAUAUGCAAUCAUUCAAUGCAGCAAAAGAAUAAUUCCUUUAUUUAA